Long non-coding RNA from Ailuropoda melanoleuca (giant panda), 986 nucleotides. RefSeq lists it as uncharacterized. NCBI's taxonomy places the organism in Eukaryota, Metazoa, Chordata, Mammalia, Carnivora, Ursidae. The record is from RefSeq and is a predicted model, not a curated record. The transcript has 5 exons.
AUCCCAGGACCCUGAGGUCGUGACCGAAGGCCGAUGCUUAACCAACUGAGCCACUCAGGUGGCAGUGGGCCUACAUCAUGGGUUGUAGCAGAUGUUCUCAACAUAUCUAUUGAAACUUCUUUACAGUCCCUUGAAAGAGGAGCCCAAGAGCCUCAUCUGUGUGGUAGCUACCGUGCUCUGAUAUAAGCUGUUGUUCACCAGGGAGCUUUGGCAGGAGAGCUGGCCAGAUGAGCAAGUUCAUCUCCGUUGUGGAAAAACAACAUGAAGCUCAUCUCUGUUGAAGCUUGAUAAUCGUUUUGGUGGAGGGAUGAUUCUAGAGCUUCCUACUCUGUCAUCAUCCAUGACACCACUCCCUGCUGAGUUCAUUUUUAAAAGUGUUCCAGUUCGGCAAUAAGUUUCAUGGUCGCCCAUUGAUGUACUGUCUGUAGGACAGGGGUAGACUGAAUACCUGCUUCACUGAAUACCUGCUUCACAGCACCUUUCACAUUUUCUUGUUGGAAAGACAACCGUUGGAGAAUCAUCUUGUUACCAUCAGCAAAAAUGCAAACAAAUCAAGACAUUAAGAAUGCCACAGUGGCCAGCAGUUAAUGAUGCCAGUGUUACGCAAGCUGCAGCAAGGUUUUCAAGACAGUGUGCCUCACUAGCCAGAAAUCAGGGAAGAUCGAACCUAUCCUUUUUGUCUCAGCUGUUCCUUAAAUCAAUGCAACCCCUCCAAAUUAAUGUGAAUUGAAACAUGCAUUGCCUUUUCAACUUAAUUGAGUACUUACUAUGGGUGAAUCACUGCACAAAAUAGGGGAGGGAAAAUGAGGGAGACAAGUAAGAUGUGUUUCCUGCCUUCAAUGGAUUUACAAUUAGUUUCAAGGCGCUUUUUUUUUUCUUCUGCUCUUAAUUAAGUGUGUUUCUAAGAUAGAAAACAAAUGAAUGGAAAAGUGUAUUCUGCAAGUAUUUUAAAUCCCUUUAAUAAAAAACAAAACAAAACAAUCUAA